This 490-nucleotide ribosomal RNA is filed under the name uncultured bacterium. RNAcentral describes it as "partial 16S ribosomal RNA". It matches the Rfam family "Bacterial small subunit ribosomal RNA", at positions 30 to 507 of the family's 1533-position model. The record is from RNAcentral.
AUUGAACGCUGGCGGCAGGCCUAACACAUGCAAGUCGAACGGUAACAGGAAGCAGCUUGCUGCUUUGCUGACGAGUGGCGGACGGGUGAGUAAUGUCUGGGAAACUGCCCGAUGGAGGGGGAUAACUACUGGAAACGGUAGCUAAUACCGCAUAACGUCGCAAGACCAAAGAGGGGGACCUUAGGGCCUCUUGCCAUCGGAUGUGCCCAGAUGGGAUUAGCUAGUAGGUGGGGUAACGGCUCACCUAGGCGACGAUCCCUAGCUGGUCUGAGAGGAUGACCAGCCACACUGGAACUGAGACACGGUCCAGACUCCUACGGGAGGCAGCAGUGGGGAAUAUUGCACAAUGGGCGCAAGCCUGAUGCAGCCAUGCCGCGUGUAUGAAGAAGGCCUUCGGGUUGUAAAGUACUUUCAGCGGGGAGGAAGGGAGUAAAGUUAAUACCUUUGCUAAUUGACGUUACCCGCAGAAGAAGCACCGGCUAACUACGUG